UAACAUUUGGUUCUAAACAAAGACACACACUAACAUUUAGAUGUACACAAAGACACAUUAAUAUUUAGAUGUACACACAGACACACUAACAAUUAGAUCCACACACAGACACACUAACAAUUAGAUGUACACACAGACACACUAACAUUUGGUUCUAAACAAAGACACACACUAAUAUUUAGAUGUACACAAAGACACAUUAAUAUUUAUAUGUACACACAGACACACUAACAAUUAGAUGUACACACAGACACACUAACAAUUAGAUGUACACACAGACACACUAACAAUUAGAUGUACACACAGACACAUCCUGAUGAUCCUCCUCACGUCUCUUCUCCUUGUCUGCAGACCAACAGGACGCCAUCAGGACGCCACGUCAUCGGGAUGCCAUCAGGACGCCAUCAGGACACCACGUCAUCGGGACACUACGUCAUCGGGACACACUAACAAUUAGAUGUACACACAGACACACUAACAAUUAGAUGUACACACAGACACACUAACAUUUGGUUCUAAACAAAGACACACACUAACAUUUAGAUGUACACAAAGACACACACUAAUAUUUAGAUGUACACACAGACACACUAACAAUUAGAUGUACACACAGACACACUAACAUUUGGUUCUAAACAAAGACACACACUAACAUUUAGAUGUACACAAAGACACACACUAAUAUUUAGAUGUACACAAAGACAUUAAUAUUUAGAUGUACACACAGACACACUAACAUUUGGUACUAAACAAAGACACACACUAAUAUUUAGAUGUACACAAAGACAUAUUAAU
This is a long non-coding RNA of Gasterosteus aculeatus aculeatus (three-spined stickleback), 795 nucleotides long. NCBI's taxonomy places the organism in Eukaryota, Metazoa, Chordata, Actinopteri, Perciformes, Gasterosteidae. The record is from Ensembl.